Operophtera brumata (winter moth) is the source of this 73-nucleotide non-coding RNA. The record is from Rfam. NCBI's taxonomy places the organism in Eukaryota, Metazoa, Arthropoda, Insecta, Lepidoptera, Geometridae.
CGUUCUAUGGACGAAUUGGUAAAGGCAUCGCCGAUCACAGGCGACGUUGCGGGUUCGAGUCCCGCUGGAACGU